This 397-nucleotide ribosomal RNA is filed under the name uncultured bacterium. Its description in RNAcentral is "partial 16S ribosomal RNA". It matches the Rfam family "Bacterial small subunit ribosomal RNA", at positions 523 to 918 of the family's 1533-position model. The record is from RNAcentral.
AUACGUAGGUGACAAGCGUUAUCCGGAUUUACUGGGCGUAAAGGGCGUGUAGGCGGUCUUGCAAGUCAGAAGUGAAAUUCCUGAGCUCAACUCGGGCGCUGCUUCUGAAACUGCAGGACUUGAGUGCUGGAGGGGAUAGCGGAAUUCCUAGUGGAGCGGUAAAAUGCGCAGAUAUUAGGAAGAACACCGGUGGCGAAGGCGGCUAUCUGGACAGUAACUGACGCUGAGGCGCGAAAGCGUGGGGAGCAAACAGGAUUAGAUACCCUGGUAGUCCACGCUGUAAACGAUGAUUACUAGGUGUAGGGGGUAUCGACUCCCUCUGUGCCGCAGUUAACACAAUAAGUAUUCCGCCUGGGGAGUACGGCCGCAAGGUUGAAACUCAAAUGAAUUGGCGGGG